UGGGUGAAGAUGGUGCACCGGGUUAAAAAGGUGCACGACCCCCUGGAACGGAGAAUUUGACUUCCUGACCUGAUCUAACAGCGAGAGUACACAGUG
Molecule: long non-coding RNA, 96 nt
Organism: Salarias fasciatus (jewelled blenny)
Lineage: Eukaryota; Metazoa; Chordata; Actinopteri; Blenniiformes; Blenniidae
Exons: 3
Source: RefSeq, a predicted model, not a curated record